CCCUAAUUCUGAUUUAUUCCAUUUCUUACCCUCUUGGAAAUUAAGGUAGGUCCAUGGAAUUAGAUUGUAUUGCUGAGAUCCUCAAGAAAAUUGGAUCUAUCAGUUCAAUCAUUUGACCACAAGAGGGCACUGCUGACAUCUACUGUCCAAAUUUAUUCAGUGAGUAAUUUUGAACAUCAAUUCUGCCUUCUAUCCUGGGUCUUGUUUUUCUUACAAACGUAAAGACUCUCUAAGGGGGAAGAGUGAUUGGAGCUCUUGUAUGAAAGCAGAACCUCCAGAAGUUUAGAGAAUAAGCUCCAAGACUUCAAAUGGGACCAUGCAACUGCAGUUAGAGGCAGGGAACAGCCAUCUGCUGUGUGUAUCCCAGAGAUAGCUUGGGAAAGAAGUGUUAAGACCAAAGACUGAAGUCUACACACUGGACCACCCAACCUACCAUGAGCUCUUCUGUCAUCUCAGGGAUUGGGAUCUUGCUACUAUUAGGUUUCGCUGGGAGUAAUUCUCUGUUUCAGUUUCCAUCUGAGGUGAGAAUCCCUGAGGGACACAGCAUCAUUUUGGAUUGCAAUUUUAGUACUUCUGACAUAGUUCCUUCUCUGCUCUGGUACAGUCAGUCUCCAGACCAGUCCUUUCACCAAAUUUUAUCUGCAACUGAAUCUCAGAAGGAAACAUUUUGUGCAGGGAGGUUCUCCACAGUCUUGAGUCUGAGCAGUCACACUGUUCCUCUGAGAGUAGACACUAUCUGUCUCCAAGACAGCAAGGUGUAUUACUGCACUCUGCAGUCUCACAGUGAGCCAGCAUCCAUCCCCUCUGUACAGAAAAGAGUUGUGGGGCAACGUGGGAGAGAAUGGCCAUUACCCAAGACUGAUAGCCUUUGCUUUGGUGCUUUGAUUGUCCAAGAAAAUGUUGAAGAUAGAAUUUGCAGCAUUCCAUGACUAAAGACUCUAGUCACAGGCUAGUGAUGCAAUCAAGCCUCAGCAGUUGGGAAGCCAGUCAGGGACGCUCCAUCCAAAAUUAUUGAGGGCAUACCUGAGCUGGAAGAGUUCAGUGCAACAGAAGCUUUGACCCAUAUUUAUUUUAUUUUAUUUUGUGUUAAAAAUAUUUUAUUUUCCCCCAAUUAGAUAUAAAAACAACUUUAAUUUUUAAUUUAGUUUUUAAAAUUUUAUUUUUUUCAGAUUUUGAGUUCCAAAUUCUCUCCUUCUCUACUUACCCUCCCCACUCAUUUAUAGGGCAAGCAAUUUGACAUAGGUUAUACAUGUAUAGUCAUACAUAACACAUUUCUGGGUAAGUCAUGCUGUGAAAGAAAACACAGACAAACCUCCCCCAAAAAGUAAAUAAAGAAUGACAAAACAUGCUUCA
This 1353-nucleotide long non-coding RNA is filed under the name Phascolarctos cinereus (koala). Its description in RNAcentral is "lncRNA (ENSPCIG00000021995.2)". Lineage: Eukaryota; Metazoa; Chordata; Mammalia; Diprotodontia; Phascolarctidae. The record is from RNAcentral.